CGCUUUCGCGAUUAAAACUGUGUCCGUCUCGGUCCCAUCAAUACAUUUGGUCAAGCCCUCCAAGACAAAGAUGUUUUCCAGUGCAAAACUCCACUCGUCGAAGUUCUCGCGACCGAGUAGUUUUGGACAACUGUUUAAAUAGUUGAUCGACAUUUCACUUUACUGAAUGAACAAACUGCGAUUUUCUCAGGGAUUUCAAAUCAAUUCAUAUCAUAUUAGACAGUGAAAGUCCGAACUAAUGAAAUGGAAUCUGUGGAAGUAUCUAUGUGUGGUUGCCGUAAAACAGGCUUCAAAUGUUCUGCAGUGUGCCUCAAUUGUUCUGGUAGAACCUGCAGUAAUAUCAUGGAAAAAUAAAAAUUAAUCGAA
Leptinotarsa decemlineata (Colorado potato beetle) is the source of this 366-nucleotide long non-coding RNA. NCBI's taxonomy places the organism in Eukaryota, Metazoa, Arthropoda, Insecta, Coleoptera, Chrysomelidae. The record is from RefSeq and is a predicted model, not a curated record.